AGUGAACGCUGGCGGUAGGCCUAACACAUGCAAGUCGAACGGCAGCACAGUAAGAGCUUGCUCUUACGGGUGGCGAGUGGCGGACGGGUGAGGAAUACAUCGGAAUCUACUUUUUCGUGGGGGAUAACGUAGGGAAACUUACGCUAAUACCGCAUACGACCUACGGGUGAAAGCAGGGGAUCUUCGGACCUUGCGCGAUUGAAUGAGCCGAUGUCGGAUUAGCUAGUUGGCGGGGUAAAGGCCCACCAAGGCGACGAUCCGUAGCUGGUCUGAGAGGAUGAUCAGCCACACUGGAACUGAGACACGGUCCAGACUCCUACGGGAGGCAGCAGUGGGGAAUAUUGGACAAUGGGCGCAAGCCUGAUCCAGCCAUACCGCGUGGGUGAAGAAGGCCUUCGGGUUGUAAAGCCCUUUUGUUGGGAAAGAAAAGCAGCAGGUUAAUACCCCGCUGUUCUGACGGUACCCAAAGAAUAAGCACCGACUAACUUCGUGC
RNAcentral lists this ribosomal RNA (493 nucleotides) under uncultured bacterium. RNAcentral describes it as "partial 16S ribosomal RNA". It matches the Rfam family "Bacterial small subunit ribosomal RNA", at positions 29 to 508 of the family's 1533-position model. The record is from RNAcentral.